UACGUAGGGUGCAAGCGUUGUCCGGAAUUAUUGGGCGUAAAGAGCUCGUAGGCGGUCUGUCGCGUCGGCUGUGAAAACCCGGGGCUCAACUCCAGUCCUGCUUCCGAUACGGGUGGACUAGAGGUAGGCAGGGGAGAACGGAAUUCCCGGUGGAGUGGUGAAAUGCGUAGAGAUCGGGAGGAACACCAGUGGCGAAGGCGGCCGGCUGGGGGUGACCUGACGCUGAGGCGCGAAAGCGUGGGGAGCGAACCGG
This 253-nucleotide ribosomal RNA is filed under the name uncultured bacterium. RNAcentral describes it as "partial 16S ribosomal RNA". It matches the Rfam family "Bacterial small subunit ribosomal RNA", at positions 524 to 776 of the family's 1533-position model. The record is from RNAcentral.